Molecule: non-coding RNA, 74 nt
Organism: Lupinus angustifolius (narrow-leaved blue lupine)
Lineage: Eukaryota; Viridiplantae; Streptophyta; Magnoliopsida; Fabales; Fabaceae
Source: Rfam
CGCGGGGUAGAGCAGUUCGGUAGCUCACAAGGCUCAUAACCUUGAGGUCACAGGUUCAAAUCUCGUCUCCGCAA